AAUUAAAAAAAAAAAAAGCUAAAAGGAAAACAAAAUAAUUCUUUAACAAAGCUGUUUGAUAAAAUUUUAUUGUAUGGGUGUAUGCCUUGCAGCAAAAAAUCAGGGAUAGAUAUGCUUAAAAGAAAAGAAAAAAAACAAAAACCUUGUCCUACACUCCUACCAUGAUCCCUGCCUUAAGUUCCAUCCAGUAGUGUUAUGCUAAUAUGAUGUCUAGGGAAAGUAUCUGUGUGACAUUUUAAAAUUGCAACUAGUUUUAAUUGGAAAUUCAGUAGGAGUGUGACUGAAAUUGUAUCAAUGAUGCUUGUGAAUUUCUUUCAUUUUUCCCUAAGAUGCUUAAAUAACCAUCGAAUUCUUUUUUAAUUAGUAGUUAAUCAUAGGAACAGCUAUGUUGAAUUGUUGUUUUGUAGAUGGGGGAUGACAUUGUG
RNAcentral lists this unclassified non-coding RNA (425 nucleotides) under Hevea brasiliensis (rubber tree). Lineage: Eukaryota; Viridiplantae; Streptophyta; Magnoliopsida; Malpighiales; Euphorbiaceae. The record is from RNAcentral.